GGAAGUAAAAGUCGUACAAGGUUUCCGUAGGUGAACCUGCGGAAGGAUCAUUAUCGUACAAAAUGUGAGGGGCAUGCGAGGGCUGUCGCUGACCCAAAAGUCGUGCACGCCCGAGUGUGUCCUCUUGCAUAAUAAUCCAUCUCACCCUUUGUGCAUCACCGCGUGGGCACCCUUCGGGAUCAUCUCGGAGGGGGGCUCGCGUUUUCACACAAACCCCCCUUUUAAAAGUGUAGAAUGACCACAUUUAUGCAAUCAAUACAACUUUCAACAACAGAUCUCUUGGCUCUC
RNAcentral lists this unclassified non-coding RNA (288 nucleotides) under plant metagenome. RNAcentral's name for it is "partial contains small subunit ribosomal RNA and internal transcribed spacer 1". The stretch from base 1 to 53 matches the Rfam family "Eukaryotic small subunit ribosomal RNA", at positions 1778 to 1831 of the family's 1831-position model. The record is from RNAcentral.